This 402-nucleotide ribosomal RNA is filed under the name uncultured prokaryote. Its description in RNAcentral is "bacterial SSU rRNA". It matches the Rfam family "Bacterial small subunit ribosomal RNA", at positions 355 to 774 of the family's 1533-position model. The record is from RNAcentral.
UGGGGAAUAUUGGACAAUGGGCGCAAGCCUGAUCCAGCCAUGCCGCGUGAGUGAUGACGGCCCUAGGGUUGUAAAGCUCUUUCGCCAGGGACGAUAAUGACGGUACCUGGAUAAGAAGCCCCGGCUAACUUCGUGCCAGCAGCCGCGGUAAUACGAAGGGGGCUAGCGUUGUUCGGAAUCACUGGGCGUAAAGCGCACGUAGGCGGAUCUUUAAGUCAGGGGUGAAAUCCCGGGGCUCAACCUCGGAACUGCCUGUGAUACUGGGGAUCUCGAGUUCGGGAGAGGUGAGUGGAACUGCGAGUGUAGAGGUGAAAUUCGUAGAUAUUCGCAAGAACACCAGUGGCGAAGGCGGCUCACUGGCCCGAUACUGACGCUGAGGUGCGAAAGCGUGGGGAGCAAACA